Molecule: ribosomal RNA, 460 nt
Filed under: uncultured bacterium
Lineage: Bacteria
Description: partial 16S ribosomal RNA
Rfam family: Bacterial small subunit ribosomal RNA
Source: RNAcentral
CCUACGGGUGGCUGCAGUGAGGAAUAUUGGUCAAUGGGCGAGAGCCUGAACCAGCCAAGUCGCGUGAGGGAAGACGGUCCUAUGGAUUGUAAACCUCUUUUGCCGGGGAGCAAAAAGCGGUACGUGUACCGCAUCGAGAGUACCCGGAGAAAAAGCAUCGGCUAACUCCGUGCCAGCAGCCGCGGUAAUACGGAGGAUGCGAGCGUUAUCCGGAUUUAUUGGGUUUAAAGGGUGCGUAGGCGGUCGGAUAAGUUAGAGGUGAAAUCCCGAGGCUCAACUUCGGAAUUGCCUCUGAUACUGUUCGGCUAGAGAGUAGUUGCGGUAGGCGGAAUGUAUGGUGUAGCGGUGAAAUGCUUAGAGAUCAUACAGAACACCGAUUGCGAAGGCAGCUUACCAAGCUACUUCUGACGUUGAGGCACGAAAGCGUGGGGAGCAAACAGGAUUAGAUACCCCUGUAGUC